Molecule: ribosomal RNA, 462 nt
Filed under: Pseudomonas sp.
Lineage: Bacteria; Pseudomonadati; Pseudomonadota; Gammaproteobacteria; Pseudomonadales; Pseudomonadaceae
Description: bacterial SSU rRNA
Rfam family: Bacterial small subunit ribosomal RNA
Source: RNAcentral
AUGGCUCAGAUUGAACGCUGGCGGCAGGCCUAACACAUGCAAGUCGAGCGGAUGAGAGGAGCUUGCUCCUGGAUUCAGCGGCGGACGGGUGAGUAAUGCCUAGGAAUCUGCCUGAUAGUGGGGGACAACGUUUCGAAAGGAACGCUAAUACCGCAUACGUCCUACGGGAGAAAGCAGGGGACCUUCGGGCCUUGCGCUAUCAGAUGAGCCUAGGUCGGAUUAGCUAGUUGGUGAGGUAAUGGCUCACCAAGGCGACGAUCCGUAACUGGUCUGAGAGGAUGAUCAGUCACACUGGAACUGAGACACGGUCCAGACUCCUACGGGAGGCAGCAGUGGGGAAUAUUGGACAAUGGGCGAAAGCCUGAUCCAGCCAUGCCGCGUGUGUGAAGAAGGUCUUCGGAUUGUAAAGCACUUUAAGUUGGGAGGAAGGGCAGUAAAUUAAUACUCUGCAGUUUUGACGUU